GAUGAACGCUAGCUACAGGCUUAACACAUGCAAGUCGAGGGGAAACGAUAGAGAAAGCUUGCUUUUUCUAGGCGUCGACCGGCGCACGGGUGAGUAACGCGUAUCCAACCUGCCCAUCACUUGGGGAUAACCUUGCGAAAGUAAGACUAAUACCCAAUGGUAUCUCUAGAAGACAUCUGAAGGAGAUUAAAGAUUUAUCGGUGAUGGAUGGGGACGCGUCUGAUUAGCUUGUUGGCGGGGUAACGGCCCACCAAGGCGACGAUCAGUAGGGGUUCUGAGAGGAAGGGCCCCCACAUUGGAACUGAAACACGGACCAAACUCCUACGGGAGGCGGCAGUGAGGAAUAUUGGUCAAUGGGCGAGAGCCUGAACCAGCCAAGUAGCGUGCAGGAUGACGGCCCUAUGGGUUGUAAACUGCUUUUAUAAGGGAAUAAAGUGAGUCUCGUGAGGCUUUUUGCAUGUACCUUAUGAAUAAGGACCGGCUAAUUCCGUGCCAGCAGCCGCCGUAA
RNAcentral lists this ribosomal RNA (508 nucleotides) under uncultured bacterium. RNAcentral describes it as "partial 16S ribosomal RNA". It matches the Rfam family "Bacterial small subunit ribosomal RNA", at positions 28 to 523 of the family's 1533-position model. The record is from RNAcentral.